Molecule: ribosomal RNA, 254 nt
Filed under: uncultured bacterium
Lineage: Bacteria
Description: partial 16S ribosomal RNA
Rfam family: Bacterial small subunit ribosomal RNA
Source: RNAcentral
UACGGAGGGUGCGAGCGUUGUCCGGAAUCAUUGGGCGUAAAGGGCGCGUAGGUGGCCCGGUCAGUUCGUGGUGAAAGCGCGGGGCUCAACCCUGCGUCGGCCAUGAAUACUGCCGCGGCUGGAGCACUGUAGAGGCAGGCGGAAUUCCACGUGUAGCGGUGAAAUGCGUAGAGAUGUGGAGGAACACCAGUGGCGAAGGCGACUCUUUGGCCUGUAACUGACACUGAGGCGCGAAAGCGUGGGGAGCAAACAGG